This is a non-coding RNA of Lupinus albus (white lupine), 188 nucleotides long. Lineage: Eukaryota; Viridiplantae; Streptophyta; Magnoliopsida; Fabales; Fabaceae. The record is from the annotation of a GenBank genome assembly.
UGCCUUGGUGGUGAAAUGGUAGACACGCGAGACUCAAAAUCUCGUGCUAAAAAGCGUGGAGGUUCGAGUCCUCUUCAAGGCAUAAUAUUGAGAUCUCUUAUUGAAUUGGAAUAAGUUCGGCAGCGGAUCACGAAAUCUUGGUGAUCUUCUCUAUCUAAUGAAUGGGGAGUCCAUUUUGAAAUCGUUCG